RNAcentral lists this transfer RNA (74 nucleotides) under Actinomycetota bacterium. Its description in RNAcentral is "tRNA-Met". It matches the Rfam family "tRNA". Rfam says of the family: Transfer RNA (tRNA) molecules are approximately 80 nucleotides in length. Their secondary structure includes four short double-helical elements and three loops (D, anti-codon, and T loops). Further hydrogen bonds mediate the characteristic L-shaped molecular structure. tRNAs have two regions of fundamental functional importance: the anti-codon, which is responsible for specific mRNA codon recognition, and the 3' end, to which the tRNAs corresponding amino acid is attached (by aminoacyl-tRNA synthetases). tRNAs cope with the degeneracy of the genetic code in two manners: having more than one tRNA (with a specific anti-codon) for a particular amino acid; and 'wobble' base-pairing, i.e. permitting non-standard base-pairing at the 3rd anti-codon position. The record is from RNAcentral. Lineage: Bacteria; Bacillati; Actinomycetota.
UGCGGGGUGGAGCAGUCUGGUAGCUCGUCGGGCUCAUAACCCGAAGGUCGUUGGUUCAAAUCCAACCCCCGCCA